CAUGCUCAGGAUGAACGCUAGCGGCAGGCCUAAUACAUGCAAGUCGAACGGGAUUCUUUCCUUCGGGAGAGAUGAGAGUGGCGCACGGGUGCGUAACGCGUAUGCAACCUACCUUUUACUGGGGGAUAGCCCGGGGAAACCCGGAUUAAUACCCCAUGGCAUCAAAACUUCGCAUGGAGAAUUGAUUAAAGAUUUAUCGGUAAAAGAUGGGCAUGCGUAGGAUUAGCUAGUUGGUGGUGUAACGGACCACCAAGGCUGCGAUCCUUAGGGGUUCUGAGAGGAAGGUCCCCCACACUGGCACUGAGAUACGGGCCAGACUCCUACGGGAGGCAGCAGUAGGGAAUAUUGGGCAAUGGGCGAGAGCCUGACCCAGCCAUGCCGCGUGCAGGAAGACGGCGUUCUGCGUUGUAAACUGCUUUUAUAAGGGAAGAAACCCCUCUACGUGUAGAGGGCUGACGG
Molecule: ribosomal RNA, 459 nt
Filed under: uncultured Sphingobacterium sp.
Lineage: Bacteria; Pseudomonadati; Bacteroidota; Sphingobacteriia; Sphingobacteriales; Sphingobacteriaceae
Description: bacterial SSU rRNA
Rfam family: Bacterial small subunit ribosomal RNA
Source: RNAcentral